GUAGGGUGCGAGCGUUAAUCGGAAUUACUGGGCGUAAAGCGUGCGCAGGCGGUUCGUUGUGUUUGCGGUGAAAGCCCCGGGCUCAACCUGGGAAUGGCCGUGAAAACUGGCGAGCUGGAGUGUGGCAGAGGGGGGUGGAAUUCCAGGUGUAGCAGUGAAAUGCGUAGAGAUCUGGAGGAACACCGAUGGCGAAGGCAGCCCCCUGGGCUGACACUGACGCUCAGGCACGAAAGCGUGGGGAGCAAACAGGAUUAGAUACCCUGGUAGUCCACGCCCUAAACGAUGGCAACUGGGUGUUGGGGGAGCGAUUCCUCAGUACCGUAGCUAACGCGUGAAGUUGCCCGCCUGGGGAGUACGGCCGCAAGGUUA
Molecule: ribosomal RNA, 369 nt
Filed under: uncultured bacterium
Lineage: Bacteria
Description: bacterial SSU rRNA
Rfam family: Bacterial small subunit ribosomal RNA
Source: RNAcentral